GAUGAACGCUAGCGGGAGGCCUAACACAUGCAAGCCGAGCGGUAUUUGUUCUUCGGAACAGAGAGAGCGGCGCACGGGUGCGGAACACGUGUGCAACCUGCCUUUAUCUGGGGGAUAGCCUUUCGAAAGGAAGAUUAAUACCCCAUAAUAUAUUGAGUGGCAUCACUUGAUAUUGAAAACUCCGGUGGAUAGAGAUGGGCACGCACAAGAUUAGAUAGUUGGUGAGGUAACGGCUCACCAAGUCAAUGAUCUUUAGGGGGCCUGAGAGGGUGAUCCCCCACACUGGUACUGAGACACGGACCAGACUCCUACGGGAGGCAGCAGUGAGGAAUAUUGGACAAUGGGUUAGCGCCUGAUCCAGCCAUCCCGCGUGAAGGACGACGGCCCUAUGGGUGGUAAACUUCUUUUGUAUAGGGAUAAACCUACUCUCGUGAGAGUAGCUGAAGGUACUAUACGAAUAAGCACCGGCUAACUCCGUG
Molecule: ribosomal RNA, 479 nt
Filed under: uncultured bacterium
Lineage: Bacteria
Description: partial 16S ribosomal RNA
Rfam family: Bacterial small subunit ribosomal RNA
Source: RNAcentral